This 85-nucleotide transfer RNA is filed under the name Felis catus (domestic cat). It matches the Rfam family "tRNA". Rfam says of the family: Transfer RNA (tRNA) molecules are approximately 80 nucleotides in length. The record is from Rfam by way of RNAcentral. RNAcentral also lists the same sequence under 1 other name. Lineage: Eukaryota; Metazoa; Chordata; Mammalia; Carnivora; Felidae.
GCCUGGGUGGCUCAGUCGGUUAAGCGUCCGACUUCAGCUCAGGUCAUGAUCUCACGGUUUGUGGGUUUGAGCCCCACAUCGGGCU